Molecule: long non-coding RNA, 294 nt
Filed under: Ovis aries (sheep)
Lineage: Eukaryota; Metazoa; Chordata; Mammalia; Artiodactyla; Bovidae
Description: lncRNA (ENSOARG00000025502.1)
Source: RNAcentral
AUGCUCAGCCAGCCCAUUCUCCUCCAGCCAUCAGAGAGUAGACUUUCUGAUCUGCUUCUCCCAGCCCCAAGCCUUCCCAGCCCAGAAUCACACUCGAGGUUUGCAAGCUGCAGGAUAACUGAAGAUUUAGGUCAGAAAGAGUGGAUUCCAAUAAAAUCUGACAUCUCUGCCCUCAUCCGCUGGGAGGACCACCUUGUAGGGGAGAAGGUGCUUAGCAUCAGAGUCUAUGAUGAGACCAACUGUGGACCACCAUUGACGCUGGGUGGAUAUUCCAAGUGGUUAUGGAAAGUCUGA